ACGGGAGGCAGCAGUGAGGAAUAUUGGUCAAUGGGCGGAAGUCUGAACCAGCCAAGUAGCGUGCAGGAUGACGGCCCUAUGGGUUGUAAACUGCUUUUGUGCGGGGAUAAAAAGCGGGACGUGUCCCGCCUUGUAGGUACCGCAAGAAAAAGGACCGGCUAAUUCCGUGCCAGCAGCCGCGGUAAUACGGAAGGUCCGGGCGUUAUCCGGAUUUAUUGGGUUUAAGGGAGCGCAGGCGGCCUUUUAAGGGUGUGGUGAAAUGUAGGCGCUCAACGUCUGCACUGCCACGCGAACUGGAGGGCUUGAGUGCGGUGAACGCUGGCGGAAUUCGUGGUGUAGCGGUGAAAUGCUUAGAUAUCACGAAGAACUCCGAUUGCGAAGGCAGCUGGCGGUACCGUUACCGACGCUCAUGCUCGAAAGUGUGGGUAUCGAACAGGAUUAGAUACCCUGGUA
This 453-nucleotide ribosomal RNA is filed under the name uncultured Prevotella sp. RNAcentral's name for it is "partial 16S ribosomal RNA". It matches the Rfam family "Bacterial small subunit ribosomal RNA", at positions 341 to 792 of the family's 1533-position model. The record is from RNAcentral. Lineage: Bacteria; Pseudomonadati; Bacteroidota; Bacteroidia; Bacteroidales; Prevotellaceae.